Molecule: ribosomal RNA, 891 nt
Filed under: uncultured bacterium
Lineage: Bacteria
Description: bacterial SSU rRNA
Rfam family: Bacterial small subunit ribosomal RNA
Source: RNAcentral
GAUGAACGCUAGCUACAGGCUUAACACAUGCAAGUCGAGGGGCAUCAUGGUCUAGCAAUAGACUGAUGGCGACCGGCGCACGGGUGAGUAACACGUAUCCAACCUGGCCAUUACUCGGGUAUAGGCUUUCGAAAGAAAGAUUAAUCCCCGAUGGCAUAUCCUCUGGGCAUCCAGGGGCUAUUAAAGAAUUUCGGUAAUGGAUGGGGAUGCGUUCCAUUAGCUUGUUGGGGGGGUAACGGCCCACCAAGGCAUCGAUGGAUAGGGGUUCUGAGAGGAAGGUCCCCCACAUUGGAACUGAGACACGGUCCAAACUCCUACGGGAGGCAGCAGUGAGGAAUAUUGGUCAAUGGGCGUUAGCCUGAACCAGCCAAGUAGCGUGAAGGAUGACUGCCCUAUGGGUUGUAAACUUCUUUUAGAUGGGAAUAAAGUUCGGUACGCGUACCGUUUUGUAUGUACCAUUUGAAUAAGGAUCGGCUAACUCCGUGCCAGCAGCCGCGGUAAUACGGAGGAUCCGAGCGUUAUCCGGAUUUAUUGGGUUUAAAGGGAGCGUAGGCGGAAGCUUAAGUCAGUUGUGAAAGUUUGGGGCUCAACCUUGAAAUUGCAAUUGAAACUGGGUUUCUUGAGUUCGGUAUAGGUGGGCGGAAUUCGUGGUGUAGCGGUGAAAUGCUUAGAUAUCACGAAGAACUCCGAUUGCGAAGGCAGCUCACUGGAGCGUUACUGUCGCUGAUGCUCGAAAGUGUGGGUAUCAAACAGGAUUAGAUACCCUGGUAGUCCACACAGUAAACGAUGAAUACUCGCUGUUUGCGAUACAAUGCAAGCGGCCAAGCGAAAGCAUUAAGUAUUCCACCUGGGGAGUACGCCGGCAACGGUGAAACUCAAAGGAAUUGACGG